Molecule: non-coding RNA, 102 nt
Filed under: Paraburkholderia susongensis
Lineage: Bacteria; Pseudomonadati; Pseudomonadota; Betaproteobacteria; Burkholderiales; Burkholderiaceae
Description: Glycine sequence
Rfam family: Glycine riboswitch aptamer (bases 9-93)
About the family: This family represents the bacterial glycine riboswitch. Glycine riboswitches usually consist of two metabolite-binding aptamers domains with similar structures in tandem. The aptamers cooperatively bind glycine to regulate the expression of downstream genes.
Source: RNAcentral
CCGCACGCGUCGGGAGAGCGCGCUGGCCACGGAAAAACGCAGGCCGCGCCGCCGAAGGGGCACACCCGCAAACUCUCAGGCAAAAGGACCGGCCGCGUCGAA